GAUGAACGCUAGCUACAGGCUUAACACAUGCAAGUCGCAGGGUAACAUGAGGAAAGCUUGCUUUCCUUGAUGACGACUGGCGCACGGGUGAGUAACGCGUAUCCAACCUUCCCAUAACUACGGGAUAACCCGUUGAAAGACGGCCUAAUACCGUAUGAUAUCGUUUGCUGACAUCAAAUAACGAUUAAAGGUUUAGCGGUUAUGGAUGGGGAUGCGUCUGAUUAGCUUGUUGGCGGGGUAACGGCCCACCAAGGCGACGAUCAGUAGGGGUUCUGAGAGGAAGGUCCCCCACAUUGGAACUGAGACACGGUCCAAACUCCUACGGGAGGCAGCAGUGAGGAAUAUUGAUCAAUGGGCGAGAGCCUGAACCAGCCAAGUAGCGUGCAGGACGACGGCCCUAUGGGUUGUAAACUGCUUUUAUGUGGGGAUAAAGUGCGUGACGUGUCAUGCAUUGCAGGUACCACAUGAAUAAGGACCGGCUAAUUCCGUG
RNAcentral lists this ribosomal RNA (490 nucleotides) under uncultured bacterium. RNAcentral describes it as "partial 16S ribosomal RNA". It matches the Rfam family "Bacterial small subunit ribosomal RNA", at positions 28 to 507 of the family's 1533-position model. The record is from RNAcentral.